Molecule: ribosomal RNA, 468 nt
Filed under: uncultured bacterium
Lineage: Bacteria
Description: partial 16S ribosomal RNA
Rfam family: Bacterial small subunit ribosomal RNA
Source: RNAcentral
GACGAACGCUGGCGGCGUGCUUAACACAUGCAAGUCGAACGGAAAGGCCCUGCUUUUGUGGGGUUCUCGAGGGGCGAACGGGGGAGUAACACGUGAGUAUCCUGCCCUUGUCUUUGGGAUAACUUCAGGAAACGGGGGCUAAUAUAGGAUAGGAGCUCCUGCUGCAUGGUGGGGGUUGGAAAGUUUCGGCGGUUGGGGAUGGACUAGCGGCUAAUCAGCUUGUUGGUGGGGUAGUUGCUUACCAAGGCUUUGACGGGUAGCCGGCCUGAGAGGGUGACCGGGGACAAUACGACUGCGAGACGGACCAGACGCGUACAGGAGGCAGCGGUCGCGAAUAUUACCCAGUGAGCCGACGCCUGAUGCAGCGGCGCCGCGUGCGGGAAGACGGCCUUCUGGGUAAAAACAGCUUUCGACUGUGACGAAGCGUUAGUGACGGUAAUGAGUAAAGAAGCACCGGCUAACUACGUG